Molecule: ribosomal RNA, 589 nt
Filed under: uncultured bacterium
Lineage: Bacteria
Description: bacterial SSU rRNA
Rfam family: Bacterial small subunit ribosomal RNA
Source: RNAcentral
CUCCUACGGGAGGCAGCAGUGGGGAAUUUUGGACAAUGGGCGCAAGCCUGAUCCAGCCAUUCCGCGUGAGUGAAGAAGGCCUUCGGGUUGUAAAGCUCUUUCGGCAGGGAAGAAACAGUUGAGGCCAAUACCCUUGACCAAUGACGGUACCUGAAGAAGAAGCACCGGCUAACUACGUGCCAGCAGCCGCGGUAAUACGUAGGGUGCGAGCGUUAAUCGGAAUUACUGGGCGUAAAGCGUGCGCAGGCGGUUUUUCAAGUCUGAUGUGAAAGCCCCGGGCUUAACCUGGGAACUGCGUUGGAAACUGAAAGACUAGAGUGCGGCAGAGGGGGGUAGAAUUCCACGUGUAGCAGUGAAAUGCGUAGAUAUGUGGAGGAAUACCGAUGGCGAAGGCAGCCCCCUGGGUCGACACUGACGCUCAUGCACGAAAGCGUGGGUAGCAAACAGGAUUAGAUACCCUGGUAGUCCACGCCCUAAACGAUGUCAACUAGUUGUUGGGGAGGGAGACCUCCUUAGUAACGCAGCUAACGCGUGAAGUUGACCGCCUGGGGAGUACGGUCGCAAGAUUAAAACUCAAAGGAAUUGACGG